This 519-nucleotide ribosomal RNA is filed under the name uncultured eukaryote. Its description in RNAcentral is "SSU rRNA". It matches the Rfam family "Eukaryotic small subunit ribosomal RNA", at positions 1161 to 1702 of the family's 1831-position model. The record is from RNAcentral.
AGGGCACCACCAGGAGUGGAGCCUGCGGCUUAAUUUGACUCAACACGGGAAAUCUCACCAGGCCCGGACACCGGAAGGAUUGACAGAUUGAGAGCUCUUUCUUGAUUCGGUGGGUGGUGGUGCAUGGCCGUUCUUAGUUGGUGGAGCGAUUUGUCUGGUUAAUUCCAAUAACGAACGAGACUCUGGCCUACUAAAUAGACGUUAGAUCCCUUUGUGGGUCUAUCGCACCUUCUUAGAGGGACGGGCGGCGUUCAGCCGCACGAGAUUGAGCAAUAACAGGUCUGUGAUGCCCUUAGAUGUUCUGGGCUGCACGCGCGCUACACUGAAGGAAUCAGCGUGUGUUCCCUGCCCGAAAGGACUGGGAAACCCGUUGAACCUCCUUCGUGAUUGGGAUAGGGGAUUGCAAUUAUUCCCCAUGAACGAGGAAUUCCCAGUAGGCGCGAGUCAUAAGCUUGCGUCGAUUACGUCCCUGCCCUUUGUACACACCGCCCGUCGCUACUACCGAUCGAGUGAUUUAGU